UACGUAGGGGGCAAGCGUUAUCCGGAUUUACUGGGUGUAAAGGGAGCGUAGACGGUUAUGUAAGUCUGGAGUGAAAGCCCGGGGCCCAACCCCGGGACUGCUUUGGAAACUGUGUAACUGGAGUACAGGAGGGGCAGGCGGAAUUCCUGGUGUAGCGGUGAAAUGCGUAGAUAUCACGCAGAACUCCGAUUGCGAAGGCAGCAUACCGGCGCCCUACUGACGCUGAGGCACGAAAGCGUGGGUAUCGAACAGG
RNAcentral lists this ribosomal RNA (253 nucleotides) under uncultured bacterium. Its description in RNAcentral is "partial 16S ribosomal RNA". It matches the Rfam family "Bacterial small subunit ribosomal RNA", at positions 524 to 776 of the family's 1533-position model. The record is from RNAcentral.